This 916-nucleotide ribosomal RNA is filed under the name Myxococcales bacterium. Its description in RNAcentral is "partial 23S ribosomal RNA". It matches the Rfam family "Bacterial large subunit ribosomal RNA", at positions 2010 to 2925 of the family's 2925-position model. Lineage: Bacteria; Pseudomonadati; Myxococcota; Myxococcia; Myxococcales. The record is from RNAcentral.
UCCCUACUGUCUCGGCCAGUGACUCAGCGAAAUUGUAUUGGGGGUGAAGAUACCCUCUACCCGUGGCUAGACGGAAAGACCCCAUGAACCUUUACUGCAACUUGGCAGUGAAGUUCGGGGCAGUCUGCGUAGGAUAGGUGGGAGGCUUUGAAGUGGGGAUUCCGGUCCUCAUGGAGCCAUCCUUGAAAUACCACCCUGGCUGUUCUGGACUUCUAACCCAGGCCCGUGAUCCGGGUCGGAGACAUUGCCUGGUGGGCAGUUUGACUGGGGCGGUCGCCUCCUAAAAGGUAACGGAGGCGCGCGAAGGUUCCCUCAGGCUGAAUGGAAACCAGCCGUAGAGUGUAAAGGCAUAAGGGAGCUUGACUGUGAGACCGACAGGUCGAGCAGGUGCGAAAGCAGGUCUUAGUGAUCCGGUGGCUCUGCAUGGAAAGGCCAUCGCUAAACGGAUAAAAGGUACUCUGGGGAUAACAGGCUGAUCGCGCCUGAGAGUUCAUAUCGGCGGCGCGGUUUGGCACCUCGAUGUCGGCUCAUCGCAUCCUGGGGCUGGAGCAGGUCCCAAGGGUUUGGCUGUUCGCCAAUUAAAGCGGUACGCGAGCUGGGUUUAGAACGUCGUGAGACAGUUCGGUCCCUAUCUGCCGUGGGCGUAGGAUACUUGAGAGGAGCUAUUCAUAGUACGAGAGGACCUGAAUGGACGUACCUCUGGUGCGCCGGUUGUCACGCCAGUGGCAUAGCCGGGUAGCCAUGUACGGAACGGAUAACCGCUGAAAGCAUCUAAGCGGGAAGCCGGCCUCAAGAUUAGGUAUCCCGGACUUCGGUCCCUAAAGGCCCCUUCUAGACGAGGAGGUGAUAGGCCAGGUGUGGAAGUGCAGCAAUGCAUGGAGCUAACUGGUACUAAUCGGCCGUGCGGCUUUUCCUU